Molecule: long non-coding RNA, 451 nt
Organism: Salarias fasciatus (jewelled blenny)
Lineage: Eukaryota; Metazoa; Chordata; Actinopteri; Blenniiformes; Blenniidae
Exons: 4
Source: RefSeq, a predicted model, not a curated record
GUUCCAUUGGCGGCAGACAGGUCCAGUCCUCCUUCCUCCAGUAACUCCUCCACAGGCCGCACGGCAACGUCUGGUUGUAGGCAGCAGUCAUUUUCUCCAGUAGGACCUCAUCUGUUACUGUUGGAUUCUGUAGGUGAGGCUUUAAAUCUGUGCGAAUGGUGUCAUCAUGGAGUCCAGUCCAUGGCUCGAACUAGAAACUGGACUGGAGUCUCUCUGGGCUCUUGUGCAGCACGUGGUGAACAGCAGUAGCACUCCUUUCAGAAAAGUUCAUAGCAGUAGUGGUGGUUGACAUUGUGGCAGAGGUGCGUUGUCUUACCACAUUCUCUGGGAUGGGUGCAGUACCAUCUGUGGCCGCUGGGGAGCGGUGUAGCGACGUGGGACCGGACUUUGACAACGCUUUUAAUUCAUCAAUUUUAUCAGUCACUUUCAACAAUAAGGACAGUCCUUCAUC